Molecule: ribosomal RNA, 253 nt
Filed under: uncultured bacterium
Lineage: Bacteria
Description: partial 16S ribosomal RNA
Rfam family: Bacterial small subunit ribosomal RNA
Source: RNAcentral
UACGGAGGGUGCGAGAGUUAUUCGGAAUCACUGGGCGUAAAGAGCACGUAGGCGGAUUGGUAAGUCAGAUGUGAAAUCCCGGAGCUCAACUUCGGAACUGCAUUUGAUACUGCUAGUCUUGAGUGAGGUAGAGGGGGGUGGAAUUCCCGGUGUAGAGGUGAAAUUCGUAGAUAUCGGGAGGAACACCAGAGGCGAAGACGACCCCCUGGGCCUCUACUGACGCUGAGGUGCGAAAGCGUGGGGAGCAAACAGG